RNAcentral lists this ribosomal RNA (482 nucleotides) under uncultured bacterium. RNAcentral describes it as "partial 16S ribosomal RNA". It matches the Rfam family "Bacterial small subunit ribosomal RNA", at positions 28 to 507 of the family's 1533-position model. The record is from RNAcentral.
GAUGAACGCUCGCGGCAGGCCUAAUACAUGCAAGUCGGACGGGAUUCAGGAGCUUGCUUCUGAUGAGAGUGGCGCACGGGUGCGUGACACGUAUGUAACCUACCUUUAUCAGGGGGAUAGCCUCUCGAAAGAGAGAUUAAGCCCGCAUAAAAUCACAGCACAGCAUUGUGUAAUGAUCAAAUAUUUAUAGGAUAAAGAUGGGCAUGCGGAACAUUAGCUAGAUGGCGGGGUAACGGCCCACCAUGGCGACGAUGUUUAGGGGAUCUGAGAGGAUGGCCCCCCACACUGGUACUGAGACACGGACCAGACUCCUACGGGAGGCAGCAGUAAGGAAUAUUGGUCAAUGGGCGGAAGCCUGAACCAGCCAUGCCGCGUGCAGGAAGACGGCCCUACGGGUUGUAAACUGCUUUUAUACGGGAAUAAACCCAGAUACGUGUAUCUGGCUGAAUGUACUGUAAGAAUAAGGAUCGGCUAACUCCGUG